CCUACGGGAGGCAGCAGUGAGGAAUAUUGGUCAAUGGGCUUACGCCUGAACCAGCCACGUCGCGUGCGGGAAGAAUGCCCUAUGGGUUGUAAACCUCUUUUGUCAGGGAGCAACGCCGGCUACGUGUAGCCGGACUGAGAGUACCUGAAGACAAAGCAUCGGCUAACUCCGUGCCAGCAGCCGCGGUAAUACGGAGGAUGCGAGCGUUAUCCGGAUUUAUUGGGUUUAAAGGGUGCGUAGGCGGAAUGCAAAGUCAUCGGUAAAAUCGCGGGGCACAAACUCGCUCCGCAGUUGAAACUGGCGUGCUUGAGUGGGCGAGAAGUAUGCGGAAUGCGUGGUGUAGCGGUGAAAUGCAUAGAUAUCACGCAGAACUCCGAUUGCGAAGGCAGCAUACCGGCGCCCAACUGACGCUGAGGCACGAAAGCGUGGGGAUCGAACGGGAUUAGAUACCCGGGUAGUC
This 460-nucleotide ribosomal RNA is filed under the name uncultured bacterium. RNAcentral describes it as "partial 16S ribosomal RNA". It matches the Rfam family "Bacterial small subunit ribosomal RNA", at positions 338 to 795 of the family's 1533-position model. The record is from RNAcentral.